RNAcentral lists this ribosomal RNA (342 nucleotides) under uncultured Bacillota bacterium. RNAcentral's name for it is "bacterial SSU rRNA". It matches the Rfam family "Bacterial small subunit ribosomal RNA", at positions 28 to 351 of the family's 1533-position model. The record is from RNAcentral. Lineage: Bacteria; Bacillati; Bacillota.
GAUGAACGCUGGCGGCGUGCCUAACACAUGCAAGUCGAGCGUGAAUCGCUAAAGUGGAGACUUCGGUUGAAGCGAUAGUGAGGAAAGCGGCGGACGGGUGAGUAACGCGUGGGCAACCUGCCCCAUACAGCCGGAUAGCCACUGGAAACGGUGAUUAAUACGGCAUAAGACCACGAUACCGCAUGGUAACGGGGUCAAAGAUUUAUCGGUAUGGGAUGGGCCCGCGUCUGAUUAGCUAGUUGGUGAGGUAACGGCUCACCAAGGCGACGAUCAGUAACCGGCCUGAGAGGGCGAACGGUCACACUGGAACUGAGACACGGUCCAGACUCCUACGGGAGGCUG